This 1471-nucleotide ribosomal RNA is filed under the name metagenome. Its description in RNAcentral is "bacterial LSU rRNA". It matches the Rfam family "Bacterial large subunit ribosomal RNA", at positions 1437 to 2899 of the family's 2925-position model. The record is from RNAcentral.
UCCUGUACCUUUAUGCAAUGCGAUGGGGGGACGGAGAAGGUUAGGCAGGCCGGGUGUUGGAAGUCCCGGUUCAAGCGUGUAGGCGUGCCCGGUAGGCAAAUCCGCUGGGCUUAGCCGAGGCGUGAUGACGCAAGGUCCUUCGGGAUCCCAAGUUGCUGAGACCCCGCUUCCAGGAAAAGCCUCUAAGCUUCAGUUGCAUGAAGACCGUACCGCAAACCGACACAGGUGGGCAGGAUGAAGAUUCUAAGGCGCUUGAGAGAACUCAGGAGAAGGAACUCGGCAAAUUAGCACCGUAACUUCGGGAGAAGGUGCGCCCCGGUAGUGUGUAGCGGCUUGCCCGUGAAGCACGAUGGGGUUGCAGUGAAUUGGUGGCUGCGACUGUUUAAUAAAAACACAGCACUCUGCAAACACGAAAGUGGACGUAUAGGGUGUGACGCCUGCCCGGUGCCGGAAGGUUAAGUGAUGGGGUGCAAGCUCUUGAUCGAAGCCCCGGUAAACGGCGGCCGUAACUAUAACGGUCCUAAGGUAGCGAAAUUCCUUGUCGGGUAAGUUCCGACCUGCACGAAUGGCGUAACGAUGGCCACACUGUCUCCUCCUGAGACUCAGCGAAGUUGAAGUGUUUGUGAAGAUGCAAUCUACCCGCUGCUAGACGGAAAGACCCCAUGCACCUUUACUGUAGCUUUGCAUUGGACUUUGAUGAGACUUGUGUAGGAUAGGUGGGAGGCUUUGAAGGCGGGAUGCUAGUCCCGCUGGAGCCGUCCUUGAAAUACCACCCUGGUGUCAUUGAGGUUCUAACCUGGAUCCAUUAUCUGGAUCGGGGACCGUGCAUGGCAGGCAGUUUGACUGGGGCGGUCUCCUCCCAAAGGGUAACGGAGGAGUUCGAAGGUUCGCUAGGUACGGUCGGACAUCGUACUGAUAGUGCAUUGGCAAAAGCGAGCUUGACUGCGAGACGGACAUGUCGAGCAGGUGCGAAAGCAGGACAAAGUGAUCCGGUGGUUCUGUAUGGAAGGGCCAUCGCUCAACGGAUAAAAGGUACGCUGGGGAUAACAGGCUGAUGACUCCCAAGAGUUCAUAUCGACGGAGUCGUUUGGCACCUCGAUGUCGGCUUAUCACAUCCUGGGGCUGUAGCCGGUCCCAAGGGUAUGGCUGUUCGCCAUUUAUUGGUACGUGAGCUGGGUUUAAAACGUCGUGAGACAGUUUGGUCCCUAUCUGCAGUGGGCGUUGGAGAUUUGACGGGGGCUGCUCCUAGUACGAGAGGACCGGAGUGGACGCACCUCUGGUGUACCGGUUGUGACGCCAGUCGCAUCGCCGGGUAGCUAUGUGCGGAAGAGAUAACCGCUGAAAGCAUCUAAGCGGGAAACUUGCCUGGAGAUGAGAUCUCCCGGAGGCUUGACCUCCCUGAAGGGUCGUGGAAGACCACCACGUUGAUAGGCCGGGUGUGGAAGCGCAGUAAUGCGUUAAGCUAACCGGU